Long non-coding RNA from Onychostoma macrolepis, 979 nucleotides. RefSeq lists it as uncharacterized. The record is from RefSeq and is a predicted model, not a curated record. NCBI's taxonomy places the organism in Eukaryota, Metazoa, Chordata, Actinopteri, Cypriniformes, Cyprinidae. The transcript is spliced from 3 exons.
GCCUGAACAUUUUGUAUUUGACUUGUAGCCAUAAACAGACAUCCAGUAUCCACAGACCUAGAUACUGCAUUGUGAAGAGCCAAUGUCAAGGUCCAGCACUCUGAAAGUUUACAAUUAUAUGAAAUACCUGAAACGAGGGUAAUUAACCAGACACACCUGAACCAAAUGAACACAAUCAAACAAGGAAGAAACUGGGUCACAGGGAGGGAGCACAUGGGGAGAAAUGCUCCGUUCAGCGGUCAGUUCGUGUCAGCAGCGGGUUGUAAUACCUAGAAGCCAACAGUCUUUACUCGUGUGUCUGUCUACAUCAGCUGGAUUAAUGACAUCAUUGGAUAAAAAAAAAUAGGAAAAAAAAAAAGCUGAGAAGAUGAAAGACAAACAUCUUCCAUUUACCCACUUUUAACAUCAGUAAUGGGCAGAAAAUAUGUUAAAUAACUGACUGCUUUUGAGUCAUUUAAUCUAGUUUGAUCAAAAAUUAAAAUCAGUGGAGCACUUAAUUAUUGAGAGGGAACUAAAUUGUUCAUAUUUUAGUCAUAUUAACAAAUGACAUUUCACAGGCAAAAAAAGUCCAUUGUCAAUUUGUCCUCUGCGUGCUGCCAACACAGCACUGAACCACCAAGGCAUGGAUGUUUCAAGACCGCUGAAUGUGUCCUGUGGUAUCUGGCACAAAGAUGUUACCAGCAGAUCCUUCAAGUCCUGUAGGUUUUAAGGUGGAGUGGCCAUGGAUUGAACCUGUUGGUCCAGCACAUCCAACUGGAAGAAUGUAUAGUCUGCCCCGACCCAGAUUCCACUCUGCAAUAUAUGUUCGAUCAUGCUCAUUUCCCAAAAUGGCUUAAUUAUAGAGAACAAAGUCAACAGUUAUGUUGUUUCUAGACCGUUUGGGAUGAUCACAUCCUGAGCAAAUGGUGACCAACUGUAGAAUGGAAGCGGGUGUGGGACACCAUGAACCAUCUCAGACAAAGGGGUGUCAGAACUUAAU